This 561-nucleotide ribosomal RNA is filed under the name uncultured bacterium. RNAcentral's name for it is "partial 16S ribosomal RNA". It matches the Rfam family "Bacterial small subunit ribosomal RNA", at positions 355 to 1375 of the family's 1533-position model. The record is from RNAcentral.
UGGGGAAUCUUGCGCAAUGGGCGAAAGCCUGACGCAGCCAUGCCGCGUGAGUGAUGAAGGCCUUAGGGUUGUAAAACUCUUUCACCGGGGACGAUAAUGACGGUACCCGGAGAAGAAGCCCCGGCUAACUUCGUGCCAGCAGCCGCGGUAAUACGAAGGGGGCUAGCGUUGCUCGGAAUUACUGGGCGUAAAGGGCGCGUAGGCGGAUCAGCAAGUUGGGGGUGAAAGCCCGGGGCUCAACCUCGGAAUUGCCUUCAAAACUGCUGAUCUAGAGUACGGGAGAGGUGUGUGGAACUCCGAGUGUAGAGGUGAAAUUCGUAGAUAUUCGGAAGAACACCAGUGGCGAAGGCGACACACUGGCCCGUUACUGACGCUGAGGCGCGAAAGCGUGGGGAGCAAACAGGAUUAGAUACUCUGGUAGUCCACGCUGUAAACGAUGAUUGCUAGUUGUCGGCAGGCAUGCCUGUCGGUGACGCAGCUAACGCAUUAAGCAAUCCGCCUGGGGAGUACGGUCGCAAGAUUAAAAACUCAAAUGAAUUGACGGGGUCAUAGCUGUUUCCU